CGCUUCUCAUGCAGUCGAGCGGAUCAAGGGAGCUUGCUCCCUGAGAUCAGCGGCGGACGGGUGAGUAACACGUGGGUAACCUGCCUGUAAGACUGGGAUAACUCCGGGAAACCGGGGCUAAUACCGGAUAACUCAGUUCCUCGCAUGAGGAACGGUUGAAAGGUGGCUUUUAGCUACCACUUACAGAUGGACCCGCGGCGCAUUAGCUAGUUGGUGAGGUAACGGCUCACCAAGGCGACGAUGCGUAGCCGACCUGAGAGGGUGAUCGGCCACACUGGGACUGAGACACGGCCCAGACUCCUACGGGAGGCAGCAGUAGGGAAUCUUCCGCAAUGGACGAAAGUCUGACGGAGCAACGCCGCGUGAGUGAAGAAGGUUUUCGGAUCGUAAAACUCUGUUGUUAGGGAAGAACAAGUGCCGUUCGAAUAGGGCGGCACCUUGACGGUACCUAACCAGAAAGCCACGGCUAACUACGUGCCAGCAGCCGCGGUAAUACGUAGGUGGCAAGCGUUGUCCGGAAUUAUUGGGCGUAAAGCGCGCGCAGGUGGUUUCUUAAGUCUGAUGUGAAAGCCCACGGCUCAACCGUGGAGGGUCAUUGGAAACUGGGGAACUUGAGUGCAGAAGAGAAAGUGGAAUUCCAAGUGUACCGGUGAAAUGCGUAGAUAUUUGGAGGAACACA
This 679-nucleotide ribosomal RNA is filed under the name Bacillus sp. 6. RNAcentral's name for it is "bacterial SSU rRNA". It matches the Rfam family "Bacterial small subunit ribosomal RNA", at positions 47 to 710 of the family's 1533-position model. Lineage: Bacteria; Bacillati; Bacillota; Bacilli; Caryophanales; Bacillaceae. The record is from RNAcentral.